UAAAUUUCACUGAAGACUUGUCUUGCAAAUUUAACUUUUCCACUAUGCAGCUAGGGUUCGUUCAAUAUUUAAAACGCCGUCGUAACUUCCACUCUCUCUGUUUCUCAAAGUCUCUCUCACUCUCUCUCUAUAUAUAUUGCGAAUACCACUUGCUCUUCUCAAAACCCUAGUGCCGAUGAGAGAGAUAGACUUUGAGUGGAUAGAGCUUAUGCCUCAUUUCCUUGUAUUAUUUGCAUCUAUGUAUUAUACAACGUAUAAGUUCAAUUUGGUGAUUCGGUUUGUCUAUGUCUUUUUGCUCUAUUUUGCACUGGAUCAAUGAGGAAACAGAAAAUACCGAAAUAUUGAACAUGAGGAUAUAUUAAUUCUUUUGAUUGAUCGAGGAUGUGAUAAAGAAUUUAUCCGAGUUCCGAAAUUUCCAUAUUAUUGGAAAUAUUGUGGAUUACUUUUCUCUAUACCUGAGAUCUGCUUUCAUUUUUAGUUGUUUGGGAUUAGUGAAAGUGAAAAAAGACUUUUGAGUAUUACUCAGAAAUGAAACAAAAUUCCAGUUAAUUAAACCUUUAAUUUACGCCAUUUGCAUUUUUAUCUUCGUUGUUUUUGGGAAUUUGUUUGGUUAAUUUGGAUCAAUGAUGAUUAGAUUAAUUACUGUGUUAUCUUUCUAGAAUUUCCAGAUUAUAUGGGAUUGAAGAAGAUUUUUCUAACUGAGAUCCAAUCUCUUCUAUUUAGUCUUUUCUUGUUUGUUUUAUGCUAUAUCUUCCUUUUUCUCGUAGAAGGCAUCAAUGAUGAAUAAUCCAUUCGUUAUCCUUGCACUUUGAUUGUUAAAUGAAGAUAAUCAUGGGGAAAUAUUAUCUGAGAUGCUUUUCUUUU
Long non-coding RNA from Capsicum annuum, 864 nucleotides. RefSeq lists it as uncharacterized. NCBI's taxonomy places the organism in Eukaryota, Viridiplantae, Streptophyta, Magnoliopsida, Solanales, Solanaceae. The transcript is spliced from 2 exons. The record is from RefSeq and is a predicted model, not a curated record.